RNAcentral lists this ribosomal RNA (294 nucleotides) under uncultured bacterium. RNAcentral's name for it is "partial 16S ribosomal RNA". It matches the Rfam family "Bacterial small subunit ribosomal RNA", at positions 775 to 1068 of the family's 1533-position model. The record is from RNAcentral.
GGAUUAGAUACCCUGGUAGUCCACGCCCUAAACGAUGUCUACUAGUUGUCGGGUCUUAAUUGACUUGGUAACGCAGCUAACGCGUGAAGUAGACCGCCUGGGGAGUACGGUCGCAAGAUUAAAACUCAAAGGAAUUGACGGGGACCCGCACAAGCGGUGGAUGAUGUGGAUUAAUUCGAUGCAACGCGAAAAACCUUACCUACCCUUGACAUGGAUGGAAUCCCGAAGAGAUUUGGGAGUGCUCGAAAGAGAACCAUCACACAGGUGCUGCAUGGCUGUCGUCCGUGCCGCUGU